AGAGUUUGAUCCUGGCUCAGGAUGAACGCUGGCGGCGUGCCUAACACAUGCAAGUCGAGCGAGAUGCUCUUGACGGAUCCUUCGGGUGACGGAUAGAGCGGAAAGCGGCGGACGGGUGAGUAACGCGUAGGCAACCUGCCCUUCACAGAGGGAUAGCCUCGGGAAACCGGGAUUAAAACCUCAUAAUGCCAUAGGAAGACAUCUUCUCUUGGCCAAAGAUUUAUCGGUGAAGGAUGGGCCUGCGUCUGAUUAGUUAGUUGGUGAGGUAACGGCUCACCAAGGCGACGAUCAGUAGCCGACCUGAGAGGGUGAUCGGCCACAUUGGAACUGAGACACGGUCCAAACUCCUACGGGAGGCAGCAGUGGGGAAUAUUGCACAAUGGGGGAAACCCUGAUGCAGCAACGCCGCGUGAAGGAAGAAGGUCUUCGGAUCGUAAACUUCUGUCCUUGGGGAAGAAUAACUGACGGUACCCUUGGAGGAAGCCCCGGCUAACUACGUGCCAGCAGCCGCGGUAAUACGUAGGGGGCAAGCGUUAUCCGGAAUUAUUGGGCGUAAAGAGUACGUAGGCGGUUCUUUAAGCGCAGGGUUUAAGGCAAUGGCUCAACCAUUGUUCGCCCUGUGAACUGGGGGACUUGAGUAUCGGAGAGGAAAGCGGAAUUCCUAGUGUAGCGGUGAAAUGCGUAGAUAUUAGGAGGAACACCAGUGGCGAAGGCGGCUUUCUGGACGAAUACUGACGCUGAGGUACGAAAGCGUGGGGAGCAAACAGGAUUAGAUACCCUGGUAGUCCACGCCGUAAACGAUGAGCACUAGUGUCGGGGCCGCAAGGUUUCGGUGCCGCAGUUAACGCAUUAAGUGCUCCGCCUGGGGAGUACGCACGCAAGUGUGAAACUCAA
RNAcentral lists this ribosomal RNA (894 nucleotides) under uncultured Eubacteriales bacterium. RNAcentral's name for it is "bacterial SSU rRNA". It matches the Rfam family "Bacterial small subunit ribosomal RNA", at positions 8 to 904 of the family's 1533-position model. The record is from RNAcentral. Lineage: Bacteria; Bacillati; Bacillota; Clostridia; Eubacteriales.